Paramuricea clavata is the source of this 425-nucleotide non-coding RNA. Lineage: Eukaryota; Metazoa; Cnidaria; Anthozoa; Malacalcyonacea; Plexauridae. The record is from the annotation of a GenBank genome assembly.
CGCUUAACAAUUGAAUUCUACAUUACAAAGAAACUCAAUUGAAUAUUUCCUAGUAUAGACAUAUUAAUAAAGCCACAAAACUGGCGGUUGGUCGAGGCAAAAAUAUACUAUAUGAAUUCUUUUCUUGUACUUUAGCCAGCGAAGCGUAGCCAUACACUGUGUGUAGACUGUAGUUGAAAUUAAACGCUAUUGUUUUAUGUUAUUCAUAUUAGCCAUUCGCGUCGCUAUACAAUUUAAUACCAGGCUUAAUUCUUAUGAGUUAUGGCUUAGAUGUACAAAUGAAUAUACUAAACUAUUAUUGACCGCAAGCAUGAGCAGAUAACCGAACCAAUAUAUAUCAGCUAGACUCCGAAAUGCGUGUUCAAUACCAUAUAGUACAGCCCAAAACUCAAAAGGAAUGAUGUUAUAUGUGUUCAUUAUACGAA